Long non-coding RNA from Labrus bergylta (ballan wrasse), 1609 nucleotides. RefSeq lists it as uncharacterized. The record is from RefSeq and is a predicted model, not a curated record. NCBI's taxonomy places the organism in Eukaryota, Metazoa, Chordata, Actinopteri, Labriformes, Labridae.
UGUACGACUACAGUCUAUGGUACGACUACGUCAAAAUAUUUUCACAUGUAACUUGAGGAUGGAUUUGACAACUUUAUGCGUUUUACCGCUAGGCUACAUCGUUUAACCAGAUUUUAUUUCCAAUCAGGUCGCAACAUCACUAUGGUCACGAUCUUCACCUGUGUCCCUCUGCCUGAGAAGCUACUUCAGAAGAACCUGACCAGAUACAGACGCGUCAAGGGGAAAGCCCAGAAAACGUCACGUCCGUUUCACACUGAGGGGGUACCAAACCACUAGACACAAUGCUGAAGGGCUGCUGUGUGCCCUUUGUCACUACAAAUAAACUGAGAAAUCAAAAUCUAAGGUUUCAUAUUUUACCCAACCGAAGCACAGAGCCAGAUAGGAGAGAUGGGAAGCUGGAGGACGAGCUUAGUCGCCAGUGGGAUAAAAUUCAAACACCUGUAGGUCUAUGUCAGCACUGCAGCACUGCAGGUUAACUACUGUUAUUUUCACCUUAUCUAAACAGUGUUAGAUUUUUCAAUGGGACCAUGUAGGUAGGGUUAUUAGUUAAAAGGCAAGUGAAAUACACAUUUUGCAAACUAAGCUUUCUUCACAACACAUUUUUCAACAGUUACCGAAUAUCCAAUCUAGCCUAAUGAGCAGUUGCAUGGGAUUAACUAAAACAUGCUAUUUUAUUCAGUGUUAAUGAUUUUCUGGUACAGUGUAACUGAUAUUUUAAGUGUAAUUGAUCAUAUCCAUAACAUGUGAUUUUGUCUUUUUUUUGGGUGAUUCAACCAGUUAGAAAAAGAUAUCUGGGAAUUCAGGGCGUUCAGCUGGAUCAUUGUCCAGAUUUUUAAACCGUAUUGGACAACAAUUCCAAUACAGUAUUUCUUUGUCAAUUGAGAGUAAUGUAUCAGUGUGUGACAUGACAGCUUGUAAACGCUAGAAUUAGAGUUUAAAAUCUGUGCGUUUGUAUUAUUACUGGCUGGGGGAAAGGAUUAUUUCCCCCGACAGGCAACCUGCCCUAACUCUGACCCGACGCCAACUUUGCCUAUUGUUGGGAUCUCUUUGCCAGAACAAGCCAGACAUACAGCCUGUCAUGAAAUCAUCCUAAAGGACAGACAAGCUCAGAAUUUGGAUUCAAUGGCAGCAUGACCGUGCUCAGCUAGCUAUGUGCCUAAGAAGGUAACGGCUGUUGUCCCCCUGAGCACCAUGCUUGAUAACAAAGCAGUGGAUGACAACAGUGUGAAGAAGAAACUGGAAGUGAUCCAGCACUGUAACAAAAGAAGUGGACUCAAUGGAUCAGGUGGUACGUGUGUAUGUGGAGAUCACAAAGAUGGCUGGUGCUUCACUGCUCAACACCCUUCAUACAUGGGUGGUGUGACCAAUGCACGGCAGCUAUUCAUGAAGGAUCCUGGCAAAGCUGGUCAUAUACACAUUAAGAGACGCAUGGAGGGUAGGCCCCAUCUCCAAAAGCAUAUCACAGAGUCAAUGGGAAAAUGUGGGCUAAAACAACUAAACAAAGUCACUACCCAGCCACAGGAGACAUCAGACAGGAGGGCAGUUCAAUAACAGUGAUAUUGUUUGUUAUGUGUGACAAAGUGACAAAUAAACAUAUUUCAAACAUUAA